RNAcentral lists this ribosomal RNA (1343 nucleotides) under uncultured bacterium. RNAcentral describes it as "16S ribosomal RNA". It matches the Rfam family "Bacterial small subunit ribosomal RNA", at positions 28 to 1378 of the family's 1533-position model. The record is from RNAcentral.
GACGAACGCUGGCGGCGUGCUUAACACAUGCAAGUCGAACGGAAAGGCCCUGCUUUUGUGGGGUGCUCGAGUGGCGAACGGGUGAGUAACACGUGAGUAACCUGCCCUUGACUUUGGGAUAACUUCAGGAAACUGGGGCUAAUACCGGAUAGGAGCUCCUGCUGCAUGGUGGGGGUUGGAAAGUUUCGGCGGUUGGGGAUGGACUCGCGGCUUAUCAGCUUGUUGGUGGGGUAGUGGCUUACCAAGGCUUUGACGGGUAGCCGGCCUGAGAGGGUGACCGGCCACAUUGGGACUGAGAUACGGCCCAGACUCCUACGGGAGGCAGCAGUGGGGAAUAUUGCACAAUGGGCGGAAGCCUGAUGCAGCAACGCCGCGUGCGGGAUGACGGCCUUCGGGUUGUAAACCGCUUUCGCCUGUGACGAAGCGUGAGUGACGGUAAUGGGUAAAGAAGCACCGGCUAACUACGUGCCAGCAGCCGCGGUGAUACGUAGGGUGCGAGCGUUGCCCGGAUUUAUUGGGCGUAAAGGGCUCGUAGGUGGUUGAUCGCGUCGGAAGUGUAAUCUUGGGGCUUAACCCUGAGCGUGCUUUCGAUACGGGUUGACUUGAGGAAGGUAGGGGAGAAUGGAAUUCCUGGUGGAGCGGUGGAAUGCGCAGAUAUCAGGAGGAACACCAGUGGCGAAGGCGGUUCUCUGGGCCUUUCCUGACGCUGAGGAGCGAAAGCGUGGGGAGCGAACAGGCUUAGAUACCCUGGUAGUCCACGCUGUAAACGGUGGGUACUAGGUGUGGGGUCCAUUCCACGGGUUCCGUGCCGUAGCUAACGCUUUAAGUACCCCGCCUGGGGAGUACGGCCGCAAGGCUAAAACUCAAAGGAGUUGACGGGGCCCCGCACAAGCGGCGGAGCAUGCGGAUUAAUUCGAUGCAACGCGUAGAACCUUACCUGGGUUUGACAUGGAUCGGGAGCGCUCAGAGAUGGGUGUGCCUCUUUUGGGGUCGGUUCACAGGUGGUGCAUGGCUGUCGUCAGCUCGUGUCGUGAGAUGUUGGGUUAAGUCCCGCAACGAGCGCAACCCUUGUUCACUGUUGCCAGCACGUUAUGGUGGGGACUCAGUGGAGACCGCCGGGGUCAACUCGGAGGAAGGUGGGGAUGACGUCAAGUCAUCAUGCCCCUUAUGUCCAGGGCUUCACGCAUGCUACAAUGGCUGGUACAGAGAGUGGCGAGCCUGUGAGGGUGAGCGAAUCUCGGAAAGCCGGUCUCAGUUCGGAUUGGGGUCUGCAACUCGACCUCAUGAAGUCGGAGUCGCUAGUAAUCGCAGAUCAGCAACGCUGCGGUGAAUACGUUCCCGGG